Molecule: long non-coding RNA, 493 nt
Organism: Rhododendron vialii
Lineage: Eukaryota; Viridiplantae; Streptophyta; Magnoliopsida; Ericales; Ericaceae
Exons: 2
Source: RefSeq, a predicted model, not a curated record
AGAGAGAGAGAGAGAGAGAGCAUAUAACAUACCUUUUCUGGCUCUAUCCCUCGAAGUGCACACACUCUCUGAUAAAGCUCUUGUAAAGAAGCCUGAACAAAUCAAACGGAAAAGGAGUUGAGAGAGAGAGAGAGAGAGAGAGGUUAUGAGGGAUAGAACAUAAACCCACUCUAUUAUAGAUUAAUGGGUACUAACUGGGCACUGUUCUUAUACUCUUGUUUAGAUUAUUUUGUUUAACAAAAUAAUGACCACUUGUUUCACUUUUUCUUUUUGAACAAUUGCGCAUGGUUUUGUUUAUUUGGAAAGGCAAGAGCAAGAGAAAUUCUCAAAAGUAAAUCGCAUCACAUAUAUGAUGGAGCAUCACUGAAGUUCAUCGAUUGUACCAAUUUGUAGACAUAAGUAAACUGAUUUCAUCAACAAAUGUCACAGCUAGUCAAUUUAAGUUGAACCUAGCAUGGCAGUGGUGAUAUUAUCAUCCCAUGAAGAAGUGAGA